AGGUGAAGUGAUUUACUCAUGGAGCUGAAGUCAGUCGAAGAUACCAGCUGGCUGCAACUGUUUAUUAAAAACACAGCACUGUGCAAACACGAAAGUGGACGUAUACGGUGUGACGCCUGCCCGGUGCCGGAAGGUUAAUUGAUGGGGUCAGCGCAAGCGAAGCUCCUGAUCGAAGCCCCGGUAAACGGCGGCCGUAACUAUAACGGUCCUAAGGUAGCGAAAUUCCUUGUCGGGUAAGUUCCGACCUGCACGAAUGGCGUAAUGAUGGCCAGGCUGUCUCCACCCGAGACUCAGUGAAAUUGAACUCGCUGUGAAGAUGCAGUGUACCCGCGGCAAGACGGAAAGACCCCGUGAACCUUUACUAUAGCUUGACACUGAACAUUGAGCCUUGAUGUGUAGGAUAGGUGGGAGGCUUUGAAGUGUGGACGCCAGUCUGCAUGGAGCCGACCUUGAAAUACCACCCUUUAAUGUUUGAUGUUCUAACGUGGACCCGUGAUCCGGGUUGCGGACAGUGUCUGGUGGGUAGUUUGACUGGGGCGGUCUCCUCCUAAAGAGUAACGGAGGAGCACGAAGGUUGGCUAAUCCUGGUCGGACAUCAGGAGGUUAGUGCAAUGGCAUAAGCCAGCUUGACUGCGAGCGUGACGGCGCGAGCAGGUGCGAAAGCAGGUCAUAGUGAUCCGGUGGUUCUGAAUGGAAGGGCCAUCGCUCAACGGAUAAAAGGUACUCCGGGGAUAACAGGCUGAUACCGCCCAAGAGUUCAUAUCGACGGCGGUGUUUGGCACCUCGAUGUCGGCUCAUCACAUCCUGGGGCUGAAGUAGGUCCCAAGGGUAUGGCUGUUCGCCAUUUAAAGUGGUACGCGAGCUGGGUUUAGAACGUCGUGAGACAGUUCGGUCCCUAUCUGCCGUGGGCGCUGGAGAACUGAGGGGGGCUGCUCCUAGUACGAGAGGACCGGAGUGGACGCAUCACUGGUGUUCGGGUUGUCAUGCCAAUGGCACUGCCCGGUAGCUAAAUGCGGAAGAGAUAAGUGCUGAAAGCAUCUAAGCACGAAACUUGCCCCGAGAUGAGUUCUCCCUGAGACUUUAGGUCUCCUGAAGGAACGUUGAAGACGACGACGUUGAUAGGCCGGGUGUGUAAGCGCAGCGAUGCGUUGAGCUAACCGGUACUAAUGAACCGUGAGGCUUAACCUUACA
RNAcentral lists this ribosomal RNA (1191 nucleotides) under Salmonella enterica. RNAcentral describes it as "partial 23S ribosomal RNA". It matches the Rfam family "Bacterial large subunit ribosomal RNA", at positions 1744 to 2925 of the family's 2925-position model. RNAcentral also lists the same sequence under 1 other name. Lineage: Bacteria; Pseudomonadati; Pseudomonadota; Gammaproteobacteria; Enterobacterales; Enterobacteriaceae. The record is from RNAcentral.